UUUUGUCAUAUUACAUGCUUUCCUGCUCGAGAACGCGUCAGGCAUCUGGCUGUAGAAGGUAGUAUGGAGUUUCGCUAAUAUUCAAGCAGUUUAUCAGUUUCUGACUGUUAGAAUAUAAACAACUACAAGAAUAUACCGUAAAUCUAUAUAGAUGUCCUUUGACUGUUCGCCGAAAUCAUUUUUGCCCCAGUCGGUAGGUCACUAGACGUUAC
RNAcentral lists this long non-coding RNA (212 nucleotides) under Physcomitrium patens. RNAcentral's name for it is "long non-coding RNA (PPAT_LNC011572)". Lineage: Eukaryota; Viridiplantae; Streptophyta; Bryopsida; Funariales; Funariaceae. The record is from RNAcentral.